ACAACCCUUAAAUAUUUAGAAAUAUAUUUUAAUGUUUUGCCUAUGUUGUCUUAAGUUUUAUGGAGUAUGCUGACAUUUAUACAAUGAAAACAUGAAACCCACUAAACUGUAUUUUAAAAGGAACUAUAUUUUAACAUUACAGAAUACAUCAGUUAUAAUGUGCAACAGAGACCUCAGGUCGCCUUGUGAACCCUUUCUGGUGGCCCAGAAAAACCUAGGACACUAUGAAAAAAAUUACCGAGAUGCAAAGGGCAGUGCAAAGAAUUGGGGAAUAUCUGCCAGUGGCAAGAACAGUAACAGAGACCUUGAGGGCUAGAUUCUGAUUCCACCUAUUACCCAGCUCAAGAGUCUACAGAACAUCGUUCAGUCUGCUUUAAUCUUCCUCAGUGGCAAAACAGGGACAGUAAUACCACUAUGAAUAUGUGACAGAACUGCUGUAAGGACUUUUAGAGGCUGAACAUGAAAUUCCUAUGAAACUGCAUCAUGACAACAUUCAACCUGAAGGAAACAACUGAUAAAACAUUCACCAAGAGAAAAACCAAAUGGUUAGAGUUCAAGAAUUAUUUGAAAAACAGGCUCCUACCUUUCUGAAAUUUCCUCUAAUAGCUCCAUAAGUUUAGCAGCCAAACCAAGACGCCGAAACUCCGGGGCAACAGACAGAGCUGUGACAUGCCCGUGCCAUUCUUCCCUUGCCACUGAGCCUUCUGCUUUGCCCAUGACUGCCAAUGAAAGACCACAUCCAGUGACUAAACACGGCAACUCACACGCGGAGAAAUACUGUGUGGUGUGCACUUUUAUCAUAAAGGAAACGACCAAGUUCUGAUUUUGAAGUUAACACAAAGUCGGGGUCCCCAACCUCUGGGGACCUGAUGAUCUGAGGUGGAGCUGACGUAGUAAUAACAGAAAUAAAGUGCAUAAUAAAUGUAACGUGCUGGAAUUGUCCAAAAACCAUCCUCACCCUCACCGGAAAAUUUAUCUUCCAUGAAACUGGUCCCUGAUGCCAGAAAGUUUGGGGACUGCUGCUUAAAGCCAUCUAGCUAAUUGUUACUCUUACUUGAUACGUAUUUUUAAAACGAUCUACCAUUUCAUGUGGGUAUGUAUGUGUGUAUGCACACACAACAGACAGUCCACAGCUCAAACCUGUGCCAGCAACAUGACCAGUUCUGUCUGGGUCACUGCUGUAUCCCUGGGCCUAGCACAGCACCUAAGACAGAGGGGUCAGUAAGCUGUCCAAGAGGUGAAAAGAAAAGAAAAUUACAGGCUCAUGAUUAUAGUUCCAGUUCUGUGAUCAGUCUAAGAGUUAAAAGCUAUUUUUAUCUUAAUUGCUUAACCCAGAAAAGUACUAGUAGUGUUAUACUUACUAUAACCCAUUAACUCGCCUCCAGGCGCCUCUGCGACGAUGAAGUACUCUGGCCAGUGGGCAAGGUACUGUAGGUAAAAAGGAAUCCCAUACUAGAGACUCGUUAAGGAGGAUGCAAAGUAAGGACAGUCAGAGUUCUUCACAAAACGAGUUUUGAAGUUUCCUUUAAAAAGCAUAUUUUUCAUCCCUAGCCAAUUGUAUGAUUUCUGCAAUCAGUUCAUUACAUGAAAUGUUUAGGUUAGCACUAAAUUUCAAGAAAACUGCCUGAAUAUGUAACCUCAGAUGUGAAUGGAGACAUACCAUCCAAGAGUGGAGAACCAGGACCCCCAAGUUCUACAGCCUGUCUCCCCUGCUCAUACUUUGUCUAGACCCCCCUCCCCCGCACAGCACCUCCCCAUCAGCUGCCAUUCCUGUCUACCGUCCCCUUACAGUGUAGUGUCACCUGCCCUCUCUCCCUGGUACUGGGCACACAGUGCAGCCUCAGGAUGUUUACUUCUCCCUUUCUGCACUAGGAUAUGAAGGACGAGUGCCUUCAUUAGCUUCAGGCGUGGGACAGUGAGAAUAACUGUAAUUUACUUCCAAAGGCUACUUAACAAACCCAGUUCGUCCAGUCCACUGAUUCAAAUUCUGCAUUUCUAGUAAUGCAAAAAAUAAAAACCUGAUGUUAAAGUGAAUGCCUGAGUGCUCAUUACUUAGCUCUUCAGCCCUGCUGUCCUACUGAGCUGUACUCAUUUCUAUACUUCUCAGUAUUAACUUGGAGGUGCAGUUCUAUAAGGGGACACCAUCAGCCUUUUUUUAACUUUCUGGAAAAUCUUUUUGUAAAUUCUUCAAACUCCCCUCUGAAGGACAGCCUUUAUUCUGUCUCUUAAAACAUAACCAUUAACAUGGAAGCACAAGUCUUUCUGCCAUCCAGCCACUGACAACAUAACCAUCUCUUCUCUGGCUACUGUAGGAGCCCCAGGCACUAACUAGCUUAUGGACCAUGAAGCCCUGGCAGGCACCUCACCCGGUUUAUGGGACUUUUGCCAAAAACUACAUAUAAUGGGAAGCAUACCCUGUAGCCUGAUUCGCACUGUGAUACUUUGCCUAAUAUACAGUGAAAAGUUUUCUGUCAUUAAAAAUUCUUCAAAAUCCUUUCACUUUUUUAAACAGCAGUCUUUAACAGGUCAUAAUCUUUUCAAUACAAAUGAAAAUUGAGGCUUUUUUGUUUUUGCUUUUUUCACUCAACUUUGUUUCUGAUAUUCAGCCCUAUUGUCACCUGUUACAGGUGAUUUUUACUGCUGAUAGUACUCCACUGACAUAACUCAGCGACAAACAUUUCCUGUAAAGAGCCAGACAAUAAAUAUUCAAGGCUGUGUGACCCAUAUGGUCUCUGUUGCAACUACUAUGAAAGCCACAAUAAAUCCUAAAGGAACUUCCCUGUGUGGAAAAGGCCACAAACAGGAUCAAGAAAAUUAUGAAUGGGAAAGCUCACGGGUAUGGCAAAAGAGGUAAAGGUAGGAAAUCCUCCACACACAGAUACAGUAUCAAAACCAACACAUGUGAGAAGAGUACAGGAUAUUGGAAAUGCAUCAGAAAUUGGGACCAGCAACUUAAAACAAUCCUGUAUGUACACAGACAGACUGCUGUAUCAAAACCUCAUGGAAACCACAAACCAAAAA
Molecule: long non-coding RNA, 3021 nt
Organism: Bubalus bubalis (water buffalo)
Lineage: Eukaryota; Metazoa; Chordata; Mammalia; Artiodactyla; Bovidae
Exons: 2
Source: RefSeq, a predicted model, not a curated record